CUACGGGCGGCUGCAGUGGGGAAUCUUGCACAAUGGGCGAAAGCCUGAUGCAGCGACGCCGCGUGCGGGACGAAGGCCUUCGGGUUGUAAACCGCUUUCAGCAGGGACGAGGCCGCAAGGUGACGGUACCUGCAGAAGAAGCCCCGGCUAACUACGUGCCAGCAGCCGCGGUAAUACGUAGGGGGCGAGCGUUAUCCGGAUCCAUUGGGCGUAAAGCGCGCGUAGGCGGCCUGCUAGGUCGGGACUCAAAUCCGGGGGCUCAACCCCCGCCCGGUCCCGAUACCGACAGGCUUGAGUCUGGUAGGGGAAGGCGGAAUUCCAAGUGUAGCGGUGGAAUGCGCAGAUAUUUGGAAGAACACCGGUGGCGAAGGCGGCCUUCUGGGCCACGACUGACGCUGAGGCGCGAAAGCUAGGGGAGCGAACAGGAUUAGAUACCCGGGUAGUC
RNAcentral lists this ribosomal RNA (445 nucleotides) under uncultured bacterium. Its description in RNAcentral is "partial 16S ribosomal RNA". It matches the Rfam family "Bacterial small subunit ribosomal RNA", at positions 339 to 795 of the family's 1533-position model. The record is from RNAcentral.